RNAcentral lists this small RNA (78 nucleotides) under Histophilus somni. RNAcentral describes it as "isrK Hfq binding RNA". It matches the Rfam family "isrK Hfq binding RNA". Lineage: Bacteria; Pseudomonadati; Pseudomonadota; Gammaproteobacteria; Pasteurellales; Pasteurellaceae. The record is from Rfam by way of RNAcentral.
GCACUUGAACAAAGCAAGUGCCAGCCGUGAGAAGCUGAAAAAUACAAAGGCGAAUAGCACGCCUCAAGCGUGUUUUUU